UUUCUUAAUAUACAUUUUUUACUUUAAAAUUUUUUAAUAUUUAUUUUUAGGACUCAAAUUAGCAAGACCUUAAAAAGAAGUAUCACUUUUAUUAUAUAAUUUGUAUCCACGUUAGCAAUUUUAUAAUAAUACUCAAAAAAAGAAAAUAAUGAAUCUAUUGAUUAGAGAAUAAGUUAAGGUUGAUGUCAUAGAUUUAGGGGAAAAA
This 205-nucleotide long non-coding RNA is filed under the name Lathyrus oleraceus (garden pea). Its description in RNAcentral is "Pisum sativum (pea) long non-coding RNA (PSAT_LNC030968)". Lineage: Eukaryota; Viridiplantae; Streptophyta; Magnoliopsida; Fabales; Fabaceae. The record is from RNAcentral.